This 489-nucleotide ribosomal RNA is filed under the name uncultured bacterium. RNAcentral's name for it is "partial 16S ribosomal RNA". It matches the Rfam family "Bacterial small subunit ribosomal RNA", at positions 28 to 506 of the family's 1533-position model. The record is from RNAcentral.
GAUGAACGCUAGCGAUAGGCUUAACACAUGCAAGUCGAGGGGCAGCAUGGUCUUAGCUUGCUAAGACUGAUGGCGACCGGCGCACGGGUGCGUAACGCGUAUGCAACUUGCCUCACAGAGGGGGAUAACCCGUCGAAAGACGGACUAAUACCGCGUACACUCCAUCUUGGGCAUCCAAGGUAGAGGAAAUGAAAUUCGCUGUGAGAUAGGCAUGCGUCCCAUUAGCUAGUUGGUGAGGUAACGGCUCACCAAGGCGACGAUGGGUAGGGGAACUGAGAGGUUGAACCCCCACACUGGUACUGAUACACGGACCAGACUACUACGGGAGGCAGCAGUGAGGAAUAUUGGUCAAUGGGCGAGAGCCUGAACCAGCCAAGUCGCGUGAGGGAUGACUGUCUUAUGGAUUGUAAACUUCUUUUAUACGGGAAUAACAAGAGUCACGUGUGACUCCCUGCAUGUACCGUAUGAAUAAGCAUCGGCUAACUCCGU